UGGGGAAUUUUGGACAAUGGGCGAAAGCCUGAUCCAGCAAUGCCGCGUGUGUGAAGAAGGCCUUCGGGUUGUAAAGCACUUUUGUCCGGAAAGAAAUCCUUGGCUCUAAUACAGUCGGGGGAUGACGGUACCGGAAGAAUAAGCACCGGCUAACUACGUGCCAGCAGCCGCGGUAAUACGUAGGGUGCAAGCGUUAAUCGGAAUUACUGGGCGUAAAGCGUGCGCAGGCGGUUUGCUAAGACCGAUGUGAAAUCCCCGGGCUCAACCUGGGAACUGCAUUGGUGACUGGCAGGCUAGAGUAUGGCAGAGGGGGGUAGAAUUCCACGUGUAGCAGUGAAAGUGCGUAGAGAUGUGGAGGAAUACCGAUGGCGAAGGCAGCCCCCUGGGCCAAUACUGACGCUCAUGCACGAAAGCGUGGGGAGCAAACAGGAUUAGAUACCCGUGGUAGUCCAGCGCCCUAAACGAUGUCAACUAGUUGUUGGGGAUUCAUUUCCUUAGUAACGUAGCUAACGCGUGAAGUUGACCGCCUGGGGAGUACGGUCGCAAGAUUAAAACUC
RNAcentral lists this ribosomal RNA (557 nucleotides) under uncultured bacterium. RNAcentral's name for it is "partial 16S ribosomal RNA". It matches the Rfam family "Bacterial small subunit ribosomal RNA", at positions 355 to 902 of the family's 1533-position model. The record is from RNAcentral.